RNAcentral lists this ribosomal RNA (778 nucleotides) under Escherichia coli. RNAcentral's name for it is "partial 23S ribosomal RNA". It matches the Rfam family "Bacterial large subunit ribosomal RNA", at positions 591 to 1368 of the family's 2925-position model. The record is from RNAcentral. Lineage: Bacteria; Pseudomonadati; Pseudomonadota; Gammaproteobacteria; Enterobacterales; Enterobacteriaceae.
GUGUGACUGCGUACCUUUUGUAUAAUGGGUCAGCGACUUAUAUUCUGUAGCAAGGUUAACCGAAUAGGGGAGCCGAAGGGAAACCGAGUCUUAACUGGGCGUUAAGUUGCAGGGUAUAGACCCGAAACCCGGUGAUCUAGCCAUGGGCAGGUUGAAGGUUGGGUAACACUAACUGGAGGACCGAACCGACUAAUGUUGAAAAAUUAGCGGAUGACUUGUGGCUGGGGGUGAAAGGCCAAUCAAACCGGGAGAUAGCUGGUUCUCCCCGAAAGCUAUUUAGGUAGCGCCUCGUGAAUUCAUCUCCGGGGGUAGAGCACUGUUUCGGCAAGGGGGUCAUCCCGACUUACCAACCCGAUGCAAACUGCGAAUACCGGAGAAUGUUAUCACGGGAGACACACGGCGGGUGCUAACGUCCGUCGUGAAGAGGGAAACAACCCAGACCGCCAGCUAAGGUCCCAAAGUCAUGGUUAAGUGGGAAACGAUGUGGGAAGGCCCAGACAGCCAGGAUGUUGGCUUAGAAGCAGCCAUCAUUUAAAGAAAGCGUAAUAGCUCACUGGUCGAGUCGGCCUGCGCGGAAGAUGUAACGGGGCUAAACCAUGCACCGAAGCUGCGGCAGCGACGCUUAUGCGUUGUUGGGUAGGGGAGCGUUCUGUAAGCCUGCGAAGGUGUGCUGUGAGGCAUGCUGGAGGUAUCAGAAGUGCGAAUGCUGACAUAAGUAACGAUAAAGCGGGUGAAAAGCCCGCUCGCCGGAAGACCAAGGGUUCCUGUCCAACGUUAA